RNAcentral lists this small RNA (28 nucleotides) under Bombyx mori (domestic silkworm). Its description in RNAcentral is "ovarian small RNA-30591". Lineage: Eukaryota; Metazoa; Arthropoda; Insecta; Lepidoptera; Bombycidae. The record is from RNAcentral.
UGAAAUCUAUAGAACCAAACAACCGUAC